RNAcentral lists this long non-coding RNA (7435 nucleotides) under Equus asinus (donkey). RNAcentral describes it as "lncRNA (ENSEASG00005024698.1)". Lineage: Eukaryota; Metazoa; Chordata; Mammalia; Perissodactyla; Equidae. The record is from RNAcentral.
GAACGCGAGAGGAGGGACCUCCCAGCGACUCCUCCUGCGGGGCUGCGGCGAGCCAGGGGAGAGGGCCGAGGGCCUGUGCGCGCGCGCGUGCUCGCUCCUCAAAGAGCGCGGCGGCGAGUGCGCGCGCGGAGGGGCGGCGCGCGGGGCUGGGAGGAGGCGGGUGGGCGGCCGGCGGCCGGGAGCGCGCGGUGGACUCAGCGGCGGCGAGCAGUUACUUAGUUGUUAGACGGUGUCAGUUGCUCGGUGGCGGCGGCCGCGGUCACCAGGGAGGGGACGGGACGGCCAACGAUGGUGGUCACUGCGGCGGCGUGUGUAGCCCUCAGUAAACGUUCCUAUCUUCAGAAAAUAAGUUAAGGAAUGAGAGGCAAGGAAGAAAGGACAUUCAUCUUGGAAGAACCCAAAGCACUUUCAAAUUUUAAAGGAAUGUAAUGAUAGCUGCUAAAACCACCUUUGUCACCAUAAUGGAUGAAGUUCUUCAAAUUUAACCGAAAUCUUUCCUCAUUAAGACUCAUCUCAAAUGGUAUCACCUGCAUGCCAUCUUUCCAGACACUUCCUUCAUCCAGUAAGUACCCUAUAGUGGCACUUAUAUGUUUUGCGCUCUUUUAAACAUUACUAUAUUUUAUAUUAUCCUUCCCCUUACUUGAAAUUACUUUCUUGGGAAAUUAGCUCACUUGAAAUUAACAGUGUCUUAUUUUACUGAUCUUUGUAUAUACCAUGUCAUACAUGGCAUAUCAUAGUCACAAAAUAACAUUUGUUGAAUUAAAGAUCAGAAACAGCUAAAGGAAAAUAACAUAUAUGACAAAAAUGAUCAGAAGUCAAAUCAUGAGAGAAGUGAUCAAUAUUGAGUUCCUAGAGAGGAGAAGACUUGAGCUGACCCUCAUACGUGAGGACCCUAAAGUAAAAAACAAUCAGAGUGUAUGCUCCGAGAAUGAUAAAUGCCAUUUUAAAGUGGAUUUUAAAAUAGCAGUUUUCUUAAAGUGGAUUAAUUGUUGGCAAAUUUAAUAGUCUUUGAUUUUCUUUGGUUACAGUAGCGUUACACCUUCCUUCAUUUUAUGAAUGAUAGAGCCUUUUCACACAGUAAAUCUACUAGAAACAAAAUCAUAAUCCAGUCCAGGAAAUCCUCGUACAUGUUCUUAGAGUAAGGAUGUCUUUGUAGGUAAUAACUAGCCAUAUUGUGAAAGACCAUGAAUCCCAGUGAAGUGAUCUGCCUGAUAUUCUUUUUAAAUGCAUUUGGGACCUGGGAUAGUUUCAUUCCCAGAGGCUUGGCAGCUGAUCUCUAUUGAGUACUACUAACUCUCUCAGAAUGGUUUUCUAAGGGACUGCAUGGUUCUGAGUAAGUAGGUUCUGAAUUGCUGCUGGAAUAUGAAUGACUAGAGUAGCCUGAUAAUAAAAGACUGAGCUUUCUAGGGCUGGUACAUCCUGAGUCAUAGAGAAGCCACAUGUAUAGUCCUGUGGCAGAAUCGAGUCUCCUGGAAGAGAGUAAAAAGUAAGGUUUCAACUGUCAAAUGAAGGACUGAAAACCAGGGCCAUCUUAUCCAUUAGUGCCCAGGGCCCUCAAUACUUUAGGGGCCCAUGAAAAUGUUUUAAUGUCUUUUAAAAUCAGAAGAAAAAAGUGAACUAAAAUUGAACAAGAUGUUUUACCAUAUGACAUUAACAUAUUUGUCUUCAUACCACAGCAGUCAUAAAAUAUAAUUUUUAAAUUUUCUGUGGAGUAAGGGCUCAGUGUCUUCAUCUGUAUAAUAAGGUGUUUGGACUAGGCAACCUAUGAGGGCCCUUGCAGGUCAGAGUUUCUUAAAUGGAGUCCUACAUCAGAAGCUCUGGACAAGUUCCAGGCCGAAGCAGAUUAUCUAACAUGACCUUAUUGUGAACUCAGGUCAUGUGAGAACCCACAUGGAUACAGAACUCUGUAUUUUUUGAGCCCAGUUAGAAGUACAAGUUUGGAAAUGAUGAGAACAUGAAGUAUGUGGUAUUAGAAUGCAACUGGUAAAAGAUUAGAAGUAGUAAAAUGCCAUAUAUGUUGUAAGUACUCAGUAAAUGUUUAGUGAAUGCAUAAAAUAAUGACGUAUAUAGAAUAUCAACUUAUUUUCUUAAUCAAGAGAAAUCUGUAUUUACCAGAAAAAAUAUUAACCGGUGGGGUUUUUUUCUUAUUCUCUACAGAAAAAGCAGAAAACAUUUUGGAGAUGAUUGUAUCUACAGUAUUGAAAUCUCAUUUCUACAAAUUGUAGGAUUCUGAAGAUUUAGCUGAGAGCUCUUUUAAAUUAUUUUCUGUUUAUUUAUAAGGUUUUAUUCUUCUUUGUCUAAUCCAAAAUGUGUGCUAUAUUAAGAUAUUAGAGCAGGAUUUUUCUUACUUCUUCUGUCUGUAUGUUGUUCAUUUUUUACAUUAUUGGUGGAAAGUGAUCAAUCCUUAUUUGACGUUCCUUCUAUAGUAAAUGAGCCUCUGUUUACUCAUACUACUCCAAGCCUCCUUAUAUGCUUAGGGUUAUCAUACUGAUAAAAAAUGGGAUGAUUUAAUGGAUGCCUACAAAAUAUAUAAUUAGAAGGGUAAAUUUGCUGAAAAACAAGUAUUGCAAAAUGACAAAGAAAUUACUUCUAGAUUGCCUUGAUUGGUUUUUUUCCAGUCUAGUAAUAACUACAACUACUUUGAUGUACAUCAGAAGCACCUGAACUACUUUUAAAAAAUAUUGAUGUUUUGGCUCCAUCUCACACCUGCUGAUUUAGGAUCACUGGGGAUGUAACCCAUACAUCUAUAUUUUGAAAAAGAUCCCAGAUGAUUGUGACAGGCACUAAAGGUUGAGAACUGCAGUGUAGUAAAAUAGAAAGAAGCAUAGACUCUGGAGUUAGAGCUGAGGCCAGAUCUGUUGUAAUUUAGGUGUAUGAACCCAGAUCUAGAUCUAUGACCAAGUUACUUAAUCUCUCUGAACUUCAACUUCCUAAUCUAUAAAAUAGGAAUGGUAAUACUUUAUAAGGUAGAUGGGGGGUUAAAGGAGUUAAUAAAUGAAAAGUGCUUGACAUACAGUAAAUGAUAGCUCGUCUUGUUAUUCUAGCAGCAUCGAGUUAUGCUUGGUUUUCAUCUAGACUUAUGAAGAGUGAGGCUUUUCUACUAAUAGCUCUUCUCUGCAUCCAAAAGGAUAUUUAUGCAGAACUUCCUCCAGCUAUCUUUUAAUUAAACAGAUUUACUUUGUUUUGAAGUUUCCUCCAAGUUUGCGUUUUUGCUACUCAGAAAAUAGUGGUAGAGAAAGUAGGUGGCUUGGUGUUCAGUUUCUCUAGCAUCCUCUGGAGUAGCUAAUUAUCUCUGGAUCCAGUUUCAAAGUUAUUUAUUGUCUUAUUUUAAGAACAGGUAUAUUGGUAUAUCAUGAACUUGGACGCAAACUUGUUACUUGCAAAACCAUAGAACAAUGAGUUUUCAUCAAUGAAAGAACGUAUGGAUGCCUAACUCUUUGUAUUGGCAACUUUUUCAUCAUAUUUUUAUAUGGUUAAUCUCUGUGAAUUUGUAAAUGAUAGUGUUUCAGAUUUAUUUUGAAACAUAUCAGGUCAGUUUAACUGACAAUAUAAUGACAUGAAACUACAAGAUAAAGGAGAAGAGGAGAGAGACUGUUCUGAGUUCCUGGUUAUGGUCUUUCCAUCUGUGUAACAUUAUGCACAUAUCCUUUUAUUUUCAGUUGCUGUGAACUUGACAGAAUUAAAAAGAAAGUACUUAUUUUUCUUUCUUUUUUCUUAGUUGAGGAUUGAUCGAGUACUCAGAGCAUAAGGCUAAGCAUGAAUAUUUAAUUUACAUAAACUUUGCCUAGCAUUUAACAAGGGUAUCAUAAGCUGCUUUCUCUCAUGAAACGUACAUUCAUAACACCUUCUCAUUGAAGGGGCUCCCCGUUUAUUUACUUUCUUGGAUUCAUGAUAUAUAAAAAACAGUGAGUGUAUUAAAUGUUGUUUUGAAUUUAAACAUUGCACAUGCUGGAGAUUACAUAACAUCAUGCUUGAUAUAGCCUUUCUACUUCUUUUAUUUCUAGGAUUGUCUUUAAUACAUCAGGAGUAGUCUUCCAUUAUGCCUAGUUAUUUGACGGUUUCAUUUUGUUUUUUUGUAAGCCUCUUCUCAGAUUGUACCAUUGUAUAUUUUGGACAAGAAAACCAUAUAGGAAAAUUUAAUACCACAACUUUCUUUAGACAAGAAAAUGCAGAAACUACAGCAGAUAAGGAUGUGAAUGGACAAAAAGCAUUUUAACCACCUUACAUAUUCAGAGAUCUUGACUCUAAACAGUUGGAAUCUUGGCAUUAUAGUUUACCUGAACAACUACACUAGUAUGACACCAGUCAGUGAAACAUAUUAAGUGUAUACUAUGUACAGGGUCUCAGUGAACAUACAAAAGAAGUAGACUGUCUCAGAGAAUAAUAUAGUUAGGGAAAUAGCCACAGACCCAUAAAUACAAUUGCAAAGUAACAUUCACACAACCAAACUCUUUCUUAACAGGGGCAAUGUAGCAUAAUACUUGAGGACAUAAACUUUGAAACCGAAUUGCCUGAGCUGAAAUCUCAAGUCCUCUACUGUGUGACCCUGGGCAAGUUACCUCAGAGUGCUUUAGUUUUCUCAUCUGUAAAGUGGAGAUAAUAAUUGAUUUGAAGUGUGGAGGGUCUUGAAACCCAAGCUAAGAAAUUUGGGUUUGACAUGCUGAGGAAAUAGGGAGUCACUGUAAUUUUUUGAACAGGCAAGUUACACGAUGAAAUUAACUAAGGAACCUUAUUUUAGUGACUGUAUAUGGAUGGAGUGGGAGGGCCUAGAGGCAAAGACACCAGCUGGGAGACUGCCAGAACAGUAUGUGUGAAAUAAUGUGAAGGAUGCAACUGUGGAAGUAGAAAUAGAUGGACAAGACCAAAAAUGACUGUGGAGAGAAAAAAUUCAUCCAGAUUUCGUGAUGGAUUGGAUGUGUUUUUAAAUAUCCUUCUCCCUACAAAUGGCAUAAUUCAGCAAAAUCUUAGAAAAUUCUGGUGUAGCAGCUCAGUGGAAAUCGCCUGUAAGUACUAUCAGAAAUUAUAAACUCUGAGGACUCCAGCUGGUACUGUGUGCAUUCACUUACGGCUUCAUCUGCCCCUUUAUACACUAGAGUGCAACAGGAAACAUUGGCUGCUGUAUGUAGACAGUAUCUCUAUAGGAGAUGCUUACUGAACUGAAUGCCUUUGUUUAGAACUAAUUGACCUUUCCAAAACAGCAUUUUUUUAGAACGUACUCAAAUUAGGCAGACUUUAACCAUCUGAUAAGUCAGAGACAAAUCACUCUUUUAAUCAAGGUCAACAAUCAUUGUUGAAGGAGAAAAGAAGCAAAAAAGGAAGGCACCAUCAGACAAAAGAACACUGUAUUAGUAAAUACUAGACAAUUAGGAAAAUUUUAUUAUAAUUAGAACAUGGAAUUGUAUCACUAAUGCUUUCCUAACUUAUAAUAUUAGCUGAGUGACACCAAUCUUUUUUCAGCCCUUUUUGUUGUGGGAAAUAAGAAUGUUAGAUUUAUAAGAUUAUAAAGUAGAAGAGUCUGGAAUUAGAAACCAGAUAGUGUCUCAUUAUCUUGGUCUGAAUUUAUUUUUCUUUGGUUGGAAAGAUUCUUGAAGUUAAAGUAGAAAAUACAUAUGCUGUUUUCUAAGCUUUUUGUGGAUUUUCUCUUAGAUAUUUUUUAUUAUUAUGAGUGAUGAAGAAUAACCCUGACAAAAAAUAAGACUAACAUUCGUUUCAGAGAGAAUAUAUUAAAGGGAUAGAUUUUGACUUAGAGGCAGUCUUUAUUGUUGUUCUGCAUGAAGGCAUUAUAAACCUAACAAAUGUAAAUAAUAAAUACGUUUUUAGAGAUCUCUCAGAUGAGGUUAUUGUUUUUCCUUUAGAAUUAACUCAUUGUCAUCUGGUCAGAUAGUUCCAGCAGGUUGUUUUUAGCUACCUAGCAAAGCUACUGUUUUCAGUGAGGAGAGGAAUCCAUCAGUAAUUUUAUGUUUUAGUUUAUGUAACAGGACAGUGGUAGUAAUUUAUUUUAUCAAUCAAUUACUUAAAGGAUUUAAUUAAGUAUUCUCUCUAUAAUCAAAUGCAUUACCACUCUCCCCACUACUCUUAAUGGUUUGGGUAGUGGCCAGCUGUGUAAGAGGAGUAAGAUAUUUUUCCAAGAUCUUUUGUCUUGACAAAUGAAUUCAGAAAUCCUUGCCUUUAGCCACAGUGUUAGAGACCUCUAUUGAUACAGAAAAUUGCAUUUUGUAGGAUAAUAUCCAGAUUGCUUGCUACUAUAAUUAAAUUAUAAGAAAAAUCUUGACUUUGGGUGAAGACAGCUCUUGCUUAUAAGUGCGUUUCAUCCCUUCAGGUCCUAUCUUGGCCCUUUUGCCCUGAUCACUCUAAGGUACGACUUUGACUAGGCAUGUGCUGUUGCUUUUCUGUUUAGGCUUGGACUUUAGCUAGGAAUGAGUAGGUGAAAGGUGAGAGAUGAAACUAAGUUCUUACGAGGUAGGAUUGAAAGAAUGGAAUAAUGACUUCAAAAUUUGCUGCAAAAAUGCUUUUAGCAAGUGAAGCAAAAGCUACUAUACACAAUUUACAGAAUUAAUCAAAUCAUGGAAAUGCAUGAAAAUACCUGUUUUUUGUGGAUUCGUUAUCCAUAGGCUAAUUUCUACAUCUUUAGACCAGUUUUGAGCAUCAUUUAGUCAGUACUGGCUUAAUUAUAAUUAAAAUCAUUGCUUAUCGAGCUUUCAUGAACAGACUAAUCUUUCAAAAACAGAUUGUUUCAGUAGGUCUGGAAUGAAACCUGAGAUUCUACAAGCCCACAGGUGAUCCCAAUGCUGCUGAUUAGUGGACUACAUUUUGAGUAGCAAGAGUCAAAUUAUGGUUCUUAUUACCUGUGGCUCCUAUUUCCUUAUUCUGUGUCUGCCUUUUUGCUCAUAAGAUUAGCUGUUUGCCCUUUAUUUUGGCACUUCAAACUAUUUCAUAAUGUUUAUUUAUUAUGUGACAAAGAAAAUUGCAUCUGGAAGACAUGCCCCUUUUUGAGUGGAAACUCCAUGCUUUGUCUCGGGGCCCCACUGGUGUGCCCCAGAGGAGUCUUUCAUUAUUGUUGCUUGCAAGAAUAUUGAAUCAUUGACAGCAGCUGACUAACAGAGAUUUUCCCAUUUAAUUACAGGUAUAUGGAAAAAGCAUAGGUUUUAGAGUAGGACUUGGAUUGUGUGACCUUGGUCAGGUUACUAAAUUUCUUUCACUCUCAAUUUGUUAGUCUGUAAAAUGAAAAUACCGCAUAAGGUCAUUGGGAUAGUUAGUGAUUAGCAAUAUUGUAUUUGAAGCACCUGGUGUAGUACAUGCAGUAUAGCAGGCAUUUGGUCGUUAAUAGUAAGCAUUUCAGUCACUGAAUGGGAUGAGACAAGCGUUAAAAACUAAUUUUCUUAACGUUUAGGCAUUUCAUUAGCAAUGUAGCUAACAAGGAGAGAAAAUUUUGUGG